UCAGCUUGUGUGUUAGUGGAACGGUCUGGAAAGUCCGACGGUACAGGGUGAUAGUCCCGUACACCAAAAUGCACAGGCUGUGAACUCGAAGAGUAGGGCGGGACACGUGGUAUCCUGUCUGAAUAUGGGGGGACCAUCCUCCAAGGCUAAAUACUCCUGACUGACCGAUAGUGAACCAGUACCGUGAGGGAAAGGCGAAAAGAACCCCGGCGAGGGGAGUGAAAAAGAACCUGAAACCGUGUACGUACAAGCAGUGGGAGCACCUUCGGGUGUGACUGCGUACCUUUUGUAUAAUGGGUCAGCGACUUAUAUUCUGUAGCAAGGUUAACCGUAUAGGGGAGCCGCAGGGAAACCGAGUCUUAACUGGGCGUUAAGUUGCAGGGUAUAGACCCGAAACCCGGUGAUCUAGCCAUGGGCAGGUUGAAGGUUGGGUAACACUAACUGGAGGACCGAACCGACUAAUGUUGAAAAAUUAGCGGAUGACUUGUGGCUGGGGGUGAAAGGCCAAUCAAACCGGGAGAUAGCUGGUUCUCCCCGAAAGCUAUUUAGGUAGCGCCUCGUGAA
Molecule: ribosomal RNA, 564 nt
Filed under: Klebsiella pneumoniae
Lineage: Bacteria; Pseudomonadati; Pseudomonadota; Gammaproteobacteria; Enterobacterales; Enterobacteriaceae
Description: partial 23S ribosomal RNA
Rfam family: Bacterial large subunit ribosomal RNA
Source: RNAcentral